RNAcentral lists this ribosomal RNA (459 nucleotides) under Plectostoma siphonostomum. RNAcentral's name for it is "partial large subunit ribosomal RNA". It matches the Rfam family "Bacterial large subunit ribosomal RNA", at positions 1941 to 2620 of the family's 2925-position model. The record is from RNAcentral. Lineage: Eukaryota; Metazoa; Mollusca; Gastropoda; Architaenioglossa; Diplommatinidae.
CCUGACUGUGCAAAGGUAGCAUAAUAAUUUGCCUUUUAAUUAAAGGAUGGAAUGAAUGGUUUGAUGCAGAUGUAACUGUCUUACAUAUAUUUACUAAAAGUUGAUUUUUAGGUUAAAAAGCCUAAGUAAAAUUAAGGGACGAGAAGACCCUAUUAAGCUUGAGUGGAGGUAUUAACUGAUUUAUGUUAAAAAUAUGAUUUUAAUAAUAAGACUUUAGUUGGGGCGACUUGGGAGCAUAAAAAACCUCCUUCUUAAAAAAGAAAGUAAUUUUUGAUCCAAAGGAUUUUGAAUUAAAAAUAAGUUACUAUAGGGAUAACAGCGUAAUUUUAUUUUAGAGCUCUAAUCGAAAAUAAAGUUUGCGACCUCGAUGUUGGAUUAAGAAGUAGUAAAGGUUGUAGAAGCUUUUGCAAUUAGUCUGUUCGACUAUUAAUAUCUUACAUGAUCUGAGUUCAAACCGGA